AGAGUUUGAUCCUGGCUCAGGACGAACGCUGGCGGCGUGCUUAACACAUGCAAGUCGAACGAUGAAGCCUAGCUUGCUAGGUGGAUUAGUGGCGAACGGGUGAGUAAUACGUGAGUAACCUACCUUUAACUCUGGGAUAAGCCCGGGAAACUGGGUCUAAUACCGGAUACGACCAAUCUCCGCAUGGGGUGUUGGUGGAAAGCGUUAUGUAGUGGUUAUAGAUGGGCCCACGGCCUAUCAGCUUGUUGGUGAGGUAACGGCUCACCAAGGCGACGACGGGUAGCCGGCCUGAGAGGGUGACCGGCCACACUGGGACUGAGACACGGCCCAGACUCCUACGGGAGGCAGCAGUGGGGAAUAUUGCACAAUGGGCGCAAGCCUGAUGCAGCGACGCCGCGUGAGGGAUGACGGCCUUCGGGUUGUAAACCUCUGUUAGCAGGGAAGAAGAGAGAUUGACGGUACCUGCAGAGAAAGCGCCGGCUAACUACGUGCCAGCAGCCGCGGUAAUACGUAGGGCGCGAGCGUUGUCCGGAAUUAUUGGGCGUAAAGAGCUUGUAGGCGGUUUGUCGCGUCUGCUGUGAAAGGCCGGGGCUUAACUCCGUGUAUUGCAGUGGGUACGGGCAGACUAGAGUGCAGUAGGGGAGACUGGAAUUCCUGGUGUAGCGGUGGAAUGCGCAGAUAUCAGGAGGAACACCGAUGGCGAAGGCAGGUCUCUGGGCUGUAACUGACGCUGAGAAGCGAAAGCAUGGGGAGCGAACAGGAUUCGAUUCCCUGGUAGUCCAUGCCGUAAACGUUCCCACUAAGGUGGGGGGACAUUCCACGUUUUCCGCGCCGUAGCUAACGCAUUAAGUGCCCCGCCUGGGGAGUACGGCCGCAAGGCUAAAACUCAAAGAAAUUGACGGGGGCCCGCACAAGCGGCGGAGCAUGCGGAUUAAUUCGAUGCAACGCGAAGAACCUUACCAAGGCUUGACAUAUACUGGACCGCAUCAGAGAUGGUGUUUCCCUUCGGGGCUGGUAUACAGGUGGUGCAUGGUUGUCGUCAGCUCGUGUCGUGAGAUGUUGGGUUAAGUCCCGCAACGAGCGCAACCCUCGUUCUAUGUUGCCAGCACGUUAUGGUGGGGACUCAUAGGAGACUGCCGGGGUCAACUCGGAGGAAGGUGGGGAUGACGUCAAAUCAUCAUGCCCCUUAUGUCUUGGGCUUCACGCAUGCUACAAUGGCCGGUACAGAGGGUUGCGAUACUGUGAGGUGGAGCUAAUCCCUAAAAGCCGGUCUCAGUUCGGAUUGGGGUCUGCAACUCGACCCCAUGAAGUCGGAGUCGCUAGUAAUCGCAGAUCAGCAACGCUGCGGUGAAUACGUUCCCGGGCCU
This 1367-nucleotide ribosomal RNA is filed under the name uncultured bacterium. RNAcentral's name for it is "bacterial SSU rRNA". It matches the Rfam family "Bacterial small subunit ribosomal RNA", at positions 8 to 1381 of the family's 1533-position model. The record is from RNAcentral.